GAUGAACGCUGGCGGCGUGCCUAAUACAUGCAAGUCGAGCGAACAGACGAGGAGCUUGCUCCUCUGACGUUAGCGGCGGACGGGUGAGUAACACGUGGAUAACCUACCUAUAAGACUGGGAUAACUUCGGGAAACCGGAGUUAAUACCGGAUAAUAUAUUGAACCGCAUGGUUCAAUAGUGAAAGACGGUUUUGCUGUCACUUAUAGAUGGAUCCGCGCCGCAUUAGCUAGUUGGUAAGGUAACGGCUUACCAAGGCAACGAUGCGUAGCCGACCUGAGAGGGUGAUCGGCCACACUGGAGCUGAGACACGGUCCAGACUCCUACGGGAGGCAGCAGUAGGGAAUCUUCCGCAAAGGGCGAAAGCUUGACGGAGCAACGCCGCGUGAGUGAUGAAGGUCUUCGGAUCGUAAAACUCUGUUAUUAGGGAAGAACAAAUGUGUAAGUAACUAUGCACGUCUUGACGGUACCUAAUCAGAAAGCCACGGCUAACUACGUG
Molecule: ribosomal RNA, 497 nt
Filed under: uncultured bacterium
Lineage: Bacteria
Description: partial 16S ribosomal RNA
Rfam family: Bacterial small subunit ribosomal RNA
Source: RNAcentral